CUCAGGAUGAACGCUGGCGGCGUGCCUAAUACAUGCAAGUCGAGCGAACGGACGAGAAGCUUGCUUCUCUGAUGUUAGCGGCGGACGGGUGAGUAACACGUGGAUAACCUACCUAUAAGACUGGGAUAACUUCGGGAAACCGUAGCUAAUACCGGAUAAUAUUUUGAACCGCAUGGUUCAAAAGUGAAAGACGGUCUUGCUGUCACUUAUAGAUGGAUCCGCGCUGCAUUAGCUAGUUGGUAAGGUAACGGCUUACCAAGGCAACGAUGCAUAGCCGACCUGAGA
This 285-nucleotide ribosomal RNA is filed under the name Staphylococcus aureus. RNAcentral describes it as "partial 16S ribosomal RNA". It matches the Rfam family "Bacterial small subunit ribosomal RNA", at positions 23 to 297 of the family's 1533-position model. The record is from RNAcentral. Lineage: Bacteria; Bacillati; Bacillota; Bacilli; Caryophanales; Staphylococcaceae.